This 447-nucleotide RNase P RNA is filed under the name Myxococcales bacterium 68-20. RNAcentral's name for it is "RNase P RNA component class A". It matches the Rfam family "Bacterial RNase P class A". From Rfam's summary of the family: Ribonuclease P (RNase P) is a ubiquitous endoribonuclease, found in archaea, bacteria and eukarya as well as chloroplasts and mitochondria. Its best characterised activity is the generation of mature 5'-ends of tRNAs by cleaving the 5'-leader elements of precursor-tRNAs. The record is from RNAcentral. RNAcentral also lists the same sequence under 1 other name. Lineage: Bacteria; Pseudomonadati; Myxococcota; Myxococcia; Myxococcales.
CGACGCCGUACAGGCGAUCGCCGGUCGUGGGUCACUCUCGCAAGGGAGCGGCACCGUGACGGGAGGAAAGUCCGAGCUCCGCAGAGCGCGAUGCCGGGUAACGCCCGGUGGCGGAAACGCCAAGGAAAGUGCAACAGAGAAAAGACCGCCUGGCUGGCUUCGCUCGCGAUGCCCGCCAGGUAAGGGUGAAACGGCGGGGUAAGAGCCCACCGCGUCUCCGGUAACGGUGACGGCGAGGCAGACCCCAUCGGGAGCAAGGCCACAUAGGCGGGCGUGCCGCCUUCGAAGGUCGCAAGAUCCGAGAAGGCGGUGACGGACGGCUCGUCCGAGCCCGCGGGUAGGCUGCUCGAGGCGACCGGUAACGGUCGUCCUAGAGGAAUGAUACGCCGCCGCGUCGCGGGUGACCUCGGCGCGGAACAGAACUCGGCUUACGGACGACGUCGACCU